RNAcentral lists this unclassified non-coding RNA (282 nucleotides) under plant metagenome. RNAcentral describes it as "partial contains small subunit ribosomal RNA, internal transcribed spacer 1, and 5.8S ribosomal RNA". The record is from RNAcentral.
UUUCCGUAGGUGAACCUGCGGAAGGAUCAUUAUUGUAUAACCGAGGUGCGAGGGCUGUCGCUGACCCGAAAGGUCGUGCACGCCCGAGUGCCCUCACACACAUCCAUCUCACCCCUAUGUGCACCACCGCGUGGGUCCCCCUUUGGCUUGUUCGGAGGGGGGCUUACGUUUUCACACAAACUUUGUAUGCAGUGUAGAAUGUAUUUUUUGUUUUUGCGAUCACGCAAUCAAUACAACUUUCAACAACGGAUCUCUUGGCUCUCGCAUCAAGAAGAACGCAGC